This 717-nucleotide ribosomal RNA is filed under the name Bacillus amyloliquefaciens. RNAcentral describes it as "bacterial SSU rRNA". It matches the Rfam family "Bacterial small subunit ribosomal RNA", at positions 672 to 1389 of the family's 1533-position model. The record is from RNAcentral. Lineage: Bacteria; Bacillati; Bacillota; Bacilli; Caryophanales; Bacillaceae.
CGUGUAGCGGUGAAAUGCGUAGAGAUGUGGAGGAACACCAGUGGCGAAGGCGACUCUCUGGUCUGUAACUGACGCUGAGGAGCGAAAGCGUGGGGAGCGAACAGGAUUAGAUACCCUGGUAGUCCACGCCGUAAACGAUGAGUGCUAAGUGUUAGGGGGUUUCCGCCCCUUAGUGCUGCAGCUAACGCAUUAAGCACUCCGCCUGGGGAGUACGGUCGCAAGACUGAAACUCAAAGGAAUUGACGGGGGCCCGCACAAGCGGUGGAGCAUGUGGUUUAAUUUGAAGCAACGCGAAGAACCUUACCAGGUCUUGACAUCCUCUGACAAUCCUAGAGAUAGGACGUCCCCUUCGGGGGCAGAGUGACAGGUGGUGCAUGGUUGUCGUCAGCUCGUGUCGUGAGAUGUUGGGUUAAGUCCCGCAACGAGCGCAACCCUUGAUCUUAGUUGCCAGCAUUCAGUUGGGCACUCUAAGGUGACUGCCGGUGACAAACCGGAGGAAGGUGGGGAUGACGUCAAAUCAUCAUGCCCCUUAUGACCUGGGCUACACACGUGCUACAAUGGGCAGAACAAAGGGCAGCGAAACCGCGAGGUUAAGCCAAUCCCACAAAUCUGUUCUCAGUUCGGAUCGCAGUCUGCAACUCGACUGCGUGAAGCUGGAAUCGCUAGUAAUCGCGGAUCAGCAUGCCGCGGUGAAUACGUUCCCGGGCCUUGUACACA